CAGUCGCCGCGGUAAUACGGAGGGAGCUAGCGUUGUUCGGAAUUACUGGGCGUAAAGCGCACGUAGGCGGUUAUUCAAGUCAGAGGUGAAAGCCCGGGGCUCAACCCCGGAACUGCCUUUGAAACUAGAUGACUGGAAUCUUGGAGAGGUCAGUGGAAUUCCGAGUGUAGAGGUGAAAUUCGUAGAUAUUCGGAAGAACACCAGUGGCGAAGGCGACUGACUGGACAAGUAUUGACGCUGAGGUGCGAAAGCGUGGGGAGCAAACAGGAUUAGAUACCCCGGUAGUCCCUGUCUCUUAUAC
Molecule: ribosomal RNA, 301 nt
Filed under: uncultured bacterium
Lineage: Bacteria
Description: partial 16S ribosomal RNA
Rfam family: Bacterial small subunit ribosomal RNA
Source: RNAcentral